GGGGGCCCGCAAGCGGUGGAGCAUGUGGUUUAAUUCGAUGCAACGCGAAGAACCUUACCUACUCUUGACAUCCAGAGAAUUUAGCAGAGAUGCUUUAGUGCCUUCGGGAACUCUGAGACAGGUGCUGCAUGGCUGUCGUCAGCUCGUGUUGUGAAAUGUUGGGUUAAGUCCCGCAACGAGCGCAACCCUUAUCCUUUGUUGCCAGCACGUAAUGGUGGGAACUCAAAGGAGACUGCCGGUGAUAAACCGGAGGAAGGUGGGGAUGACGUCAAGUCAUCAUGGCCCUUACGAGUAGGGCUACACACGUGCUACAAUGGCGCAUACAAAGAGAAGCGACCUCGCGAGAGCAAGCGGACCUCAUAAAGUGCGUCGUAGUCCGGAUUGGAGUCUGCAACUCGACUCCAUGAAGUCGGAAUCGCUAGUAAUCGUAAAUCAGAAUGUUACGGUGAAUACGUUCCUGGGCCUUGUACACACC
Molecule: ribosomal RNA, 475 nt
Filed under: uncultured bacterium
Lineage: Bacteria
Description: bacterial SSU rRNA
Rfam family: Bacterial small subunit ribosomal RNA
Source: RNAcentral